GCAUGAUAGUUUGUGAUAAACAUUGGAGAAAAUGAAGAAGGGAGGGAACUAGAGCAUAUUAUUAAUGGGGAGAUGAAGUUUGGAUUGCAAUUUUAAACAGAGCAGGAAAAGGUACUCUGUGUAAAGGUAACACUGAAGCAAAACCCUGGAAGUGAGAGGAUGUCAUUUGCAUGUCAAGGGGAAGAGCCUUCCUAUGAGAAACAACACAUGCCAAGACCCUGAGAUGGGGAUGGGGAGCUCAGAAUGCCUGGCAUGUUUGGUGAGUGACAAGGAGGCCACUAUGGUUGCAGCAAGUGUGCAAGAGGGAAUAGAGGCAGGACUGCCUUAUAUGAUGCUUUGCUUGGUGACAUAUGGAGUCAUUUGGGAGUUUUGAGCAAAGGAGUAACAUGCCACUCUGGCCACAAUAUUGAGGAUAGACUGUGAACAAGAGUUAAGAAAGAAGACAAGUUAAAGAUAUUGCUAGAAUUCAUAUUGAGAGAUGGUAGUGACUUGGGCCAUUGCCAUCAUCCCCCAAAAUUGAAGGGACAGAUUAUAAAGGGAAAAGUAAUACACAAAUGCAAUACAGCUUUUGCUGAUAGGAUGUUAGCAUACAGUCUGAUUGUGAUGUGAUUUAUUAUUACCCCCUAGUCCAGAAGUCCAUUGUUUCAUUCAAUGAUUCAAGAAGCAUUCCUGAAACAUCAAUUGAUGCCCGGACUUCUGUUGAGUCCUGGAGACACAAAUAAGAACUCACCUGUGUUUUUCAGAAGCUUACAGUGUAGUAGGUGUAUAAAAUCCGUGAAAAAACUAAUGCAUCAUUAGCACCAAAAUUAACCCCAGCAGUAGUAGUAUAAUUAUGAUGGGAACAUUAGUAAAAACUGUUAACUGUAUACUAUAUGCUGGAUGUGCCUGUGGAUAUUAAGAAGAUGAUAUAUGGCUGUUAUAAUUACUAUAUUUUGAUGUUCUUCUUUAUAACCAAACUAGAGUCUUAUAAAAUUAGAGAACUUGUGGGCUGGGUUUGUGGCUCAGUAGUAGCAUGCUUGCCUAGCAUACCUGAGGCACUGGAUUCGAUUCUUAGCACCACAUACAAAUGAAUGAAAAUAAAGGUCCAUCAAUAACUUAAAAAUAUUUUUAAAAAUAGAGAAUUCAUGACCAAAAACCUAAUAUAAUGAUCUAACACUAUUAUUUUUGUUCUCUAUCACCCAACAGGAUCAAGAAUUUUGCCAUCCUAGAACCUACCUAAGACCCAGCUCAGAAAAUGCAUGUCCCAUUUUUUUCCAAAUAUUGCUAAUAGCCCAGCCUCCCCGACUUGUCAGCUUCUUUAAGUCCUCUUCAUUGCAUGUUCUUUUUUCUUUUAAUUUUCUGUUUGAAGAGGUUAAGCUGAAACCGCUGCUCAGCUCCCAAGAUGGCACCACCCAAAUUGCAUGUACUUUUCUGCCUCUGCAGCUGCCUUGUACUGGUUCAUCCUUUUGACUGGCAACAACUAAAUCCCACUGGGUGUUUGGAA
This 1483-nucleotide long non-coding RNA is filed under the name Marmota monax (woodchuck). The record is from RNAcentral. Lineage: Eukaryota; Metazoa; Chordata; Mammalia; Rodentia; Sciuridae.